CCCAAGCAGGCUCCACGCUCAGCAGGGAGCCUGACAUGGGGCUCGAUCCCAAGACCCUGGGAUCAUGACCUGAGUCAAAAUCAAGAGUUGGACGGUCUACCGACUGAGCCAUCCAGGCAUCCCUAAGAGAUGUCUGUCAUUGUGAAAUUGGAAGCUCUAAUCUCUGCUUUCCGGGUCUAUAUUACACCGUGCCCUCUUUCCCCCGACAUGUGCCUGGAGACCCAAGUAUCAGAAAUCUUCCUAGAUGAUGCCAGCCUAUACUGAGAAAGGAUUCCUGUUGGAGCCAUCCCAAAUCCCAUUUCUCAGAGGACAAAAUAGAGACUCUGCUACUCUCUGAACACCCCUCUUACUGAGAACUGGCAACACCUAAUGUGGACAGAAGAAAGCUUACAUCCUUUGGAGGCAGCGCUGGAGUCUAGAAUUCGGAGAUCACAAACGUGGGUAAUGGAUAUCGGGGGCCAGUAGGUCAUCUUAUAUUGCUGAAAAAAGGGUAAGUUGCCUCACCCCACUCCAAUUUGGCAAUAUCUCUAAAAGUUUACAAUGUAUCUAUCCUUUGAUCAAGGGAUUCCAUUCCUAAAGGUAUACCCCAUGGAGAGCACAUGUACAAAUAUAAGCUUGCAGAAAAGUAUGUAUCACAACAUUGUUUCUAAACGCAGUAAAUGAUGGAAAAGAAACAGAAAUUUAGUACUCUGAAGCACUGGUAGAAAUAUAGCCCAUCCAUGGAAUAAUAUGCUGCCAUUAAAAUAAGACACUUUUACAUUGACUGAAAUGGAAAGAUCUCCAGCAUGUAUUAAGUGGGAGAAACGGGAAGGAAGUGCAGAAAAAUUUGCAUACAAAUCCACCUGUGUGGGAAAGAAAAUGGACGGACUCUGAAAUCUAUUCACUGGCUGACUGUCUCUGGGGAGGAGAAUUGAGUGGAUAGGAGACAAGGGAGGGAUUCUUGUUUUUUGCCUUUUUAUACCUCUGUACUUUUGUAUUGUGUGCCUGUAUUACCUAAUCAUAAGCAACCAAUCUAACAAACAUGAAUGAACAGCCCAGAGAAACUUAGGAAGUGAUGUGAGCAACUGAAAAGAUCCCAGGAUUUAUCAUCAAACGGGGCCUGAGUUGAAAUCCUAGCUCUCACCCACUAUGGGCCCUUUGUUCUCCGAGUUCUGUAAAAUAUAAAUGUGUAAAAUCAAGAUCAUAGUGCCCAACAAGCAGCACUGUUGGAAGAAUGAGACAUAACAUCAAUGAAGUGCCAGGCUCAGUGAAGAGUAGCCGUCAUUAUUGAAUUCACAUUGGGGGAAAUUAAUAACCACAGAGAAGGCUAAAUCUAUUCCAAGUUACACAGGAAGUUUAACAGCAAAUUCUUUCCCAAGGGGCUGCUUCAGGCUUUGGCCUAUUCUCCAGAGCCUGCUGAAUAUGAGAGGAACUGUUUUCAGGGCGGGCCAGACCUGGGUCUGUUUGGCGGUGCUCCAAAGUUUCAGGUGCAAUAGGUUAGCGGCAACGGGUCGUCUUGUUUUCCUCAUUAUCAUUGUGAAGAAAUUAGCCCGCAGUUGUUCAAGCGGGGGAAGCAUUCUGGGUGGUCUGGGGCCCCCUGAGAAGGCCUGCCAGAUGAAGGCCGGGAUGCCCAAUUACAUUUGAAUUUCAGGUAAAUAACAAAUAACCUCGCCAUACAGAUACACCCCAAAGAGUACAGUACAGCUUACGAUGCGGCGUACCUGGACUACAAAACCGUUUGUUGAUUAUCUGAAAUUCAGAUGUUAACUAUGAGUCCUGCCCUUUUAUUUGUGAAACCUGGCAGCCCUAUCCGUGAGUGGAGAUACCCACAGGCGAAGGCUUGUGUGUAUUUGGGAAAAUACUGCGAAGGUCCUCAGAGCUAGUCUUUGAGAAGCACUUCUCCGUGGGCGCUCUGUAGCACAAAUGUGGAGGAGCUCUGGGGGUAAAGGUGAAAUGAAGGUCAGAGGAGGCCCGGCUGUGCCCAAGGAACCCACCAGAUAAAGCUGCUGCCUUCGCUAUGCUUUGGCUUCCCCUUUUUCUUCCUGGAGGCCGCAGGUGCCUGGAAGUGACACGAGGAGGCAGCACGGGAGGAGGGAUGGGAAGACAGGUGUUUCUCCCCUCGCUGAUGCCACUCUCUUCCCAGUGAGCAUGCGCCAAUCACGCUCGCCUUUAAAAGGGGGCCUUGGGCGCUUGCUGGUCUAGAGGAGGGGUUUUCCUGCCGGUCGUGGUCUGGGCUUUUGUGGCUUUUUCCGUGGGGGCGGCUUUUCCGACUCUGGGUUUGCAGAUUUGUGUUUUUUGAGGUAGGGGCUUGGGUGAGAGAGAGGGGCAUCUAGGGGAUAGGGGAGGGAGUAGUAUCUGCUUUCUUUCCUCCAAGAAGUUUCUUUUUCUGUCCCUUUUCCGGGCCCGGAAGGCCAUUAGUGCUGGCAGGACUGUUCUCUUUUCACUGUGGCUUCUUUUACAAAGCAUCGUGCUGUCCCCUCCAGGAGAGCUGGCUUUUCACCUCCUCUUUCUACCCUAGUUCUGAACAAGGCUGUUCCCUAAGUGUUAGGGGGUGGUUUGCGUGACUGAGAUUGCUCCCGGAGUUUCAGGCUUUGUCUGAUUCACUGCCAGGGAGGGGGAAGCAGGCCCGCAGAAGUCUUCUUCCAGCUUCCUAUAGAAGGGGCUCUGCGUCUUUCACUCUGGCCUCUAGCAGGAGAAGCUGUGCUCCAGCAGAGACGCUCCGUAAUUUAGUGGCUGUGGCAAUUGCGGUUAUUCCCGUAAUGGUAGGGGAAGGUCCGUCUCCCUUUUCCGACAGUUGAACAUAGAAACUGGUCAGCUGGACCUUCCUACUGCUUAGAGAGGAAACGUUGCGAUGGAGUCUGGCGGCUUAUUUCCCGGGAAGCUUGUCUUCCAGCUCCAUGUAUCUUGACGGAGCUCUGCUCUUCUGUACUAAGGCUUCUGAAGGCAGAUGCAAAGCAGCGACAUGGGCCAGGAGCUAAGCAGGUCUUUCUGAGGUUUUCUGCUCUCCAAAUCUGAGGUUUCUCACCUAGGGUGCAAGCGAGAGCUCACGUUGGCUUGUGCCUAAUCACCUUGCUUUCGGGGCUCAAACUGCUGAAAUCUUGGUCAGAUAAAAUGCCGGAAGGAUUGCAACAAGCUACUAGAACCCAUUCUUAAGCACUGGUAGUUAAUGGCCAAGUAGCAGCUAAAUAGAAGCAGAAUAAGCUACACUUGACGACUGUUUCUAGGAGGGGGAAGAGGGGUUGAGCACCUUUGAGCAGGCAGCCUGCUACUGAUCACCUAACUUGAGCGUAUUCCAUGAAAAAUCCAUACGGAGUAGUGAAAUCCAGGUAUCCUGUGAAGUAGCAAAAAGGUUAAGUCUGACAUUUAGUGCGGGUAUCCUAAGCUCUGGGCAGGCCUUGAUGCUCACGUGGAAACCUGUCAACCGUGAGUCCAGAAACACGGACAUCAGCUUUGGUAGGCCUGUCCAGCUGCUGGGUAUGCCUCCUAGGCUGCUUCCACUCACACUUAAUGGGUGUCGAGAGCAAACGCUUCAACUAACCUAUCACAAGGAUACUCUAUACCAGGUCUGAUCCUAGAAAACUCAAGUACCUCACCCUUGUAUAACCAGGUUUCUAAAAAACGGCUUCUCCUAGCAGCUCCUAGGUCAGCUAGAGUCCCUAGAGUGGCACCUCCUUUGCACCUUACUGGGGUGCUGGGCUCCCUGGUCACCAUCUCAGGCAGGGUCUUCAAGUGCAUGGAUCUCGAGCUGCAACCCCAGGUAGUUGCACAAGUGUAGCUAAAAUCUAACCCAGCAGUCCACGGUAUGCAGUCCCGGGGGGGAACACUUUUCAGCUUGCUUGAGAAAGGACAGGUGAAGAAUCUAAAGUCUCAGGACAAACGAGCACAACUUAAGGGGGUAAGAUCUUUCCAUAGUCCUGAUACCUAGUGUCAGAAAGCUCUAAAAAGAACUUGACCUCUUUUGACUGUGUCUCCCCACCUUGCACUGACUCCCAAUGUCCAUAGCUCCUACUUGAAAGCUCUUCCAGCGAUUUCAGCCAAGCAGAGUUAAGGUGACCAGCCGGCAAAACCAUUACAGACUGAAUGGAUUCUUGUGACAUGAGGUGCUCUAAGACUUCAGUUGACAGAAUUCCGGAGAAAUCACUGCUUAUCACCCUGUGGAAGCUUUAAGAUGAAUAGAUGGCAUGGAGGUGAUGGAGCAAAAUAAGGGACAGCUGGGUUGUAGUUGGAGCAAGUAAAUCUCUUCAGCUGGGGGAGGGGGAAGGAAAAUGAGGAUUUUCGGAAGGAUUUUAGGUUAACCUGGACAAGUCUCCAUAACCUUCCAAGCUUUCCUGUACUGCUACUUGGUGAUCCUAGGAAAAUGCCCAGGGAAGCUUCUAACAUCCCAGUGCUGAGUAUAGCACUUGCCAGGAGCACCUCAAAGGAUUCUAGGAGCUUGACGUAAAUAAGUGAGCUCUUGAUUGUGCUGUGGAACUGGAGAAACGCUAUGGGUAGAGGAACUUCCGUAAUGAGCUGUGAGCGGGUCUUGCAGGCUGGGUAGAACUGACCCCGGGGCACAAACCAGGUAGGAAGUAAGAAUAUGGUCUCAGGAAUAAGGCUGAAGUGUGGGACAAGGCAAAAAGACUUGUAUUACCUGGAAAAACUGGGGGGGACUGGUGAUCAUUCUUGUAAGCUCAGUGCUCAAAGCUGUCUUCAUCUCCUGGUAACGAAAUGCUCUCACCUGGGUUCACCGUCUGCAUACUAGGUAGCUGGUUCCAGCCUAGAAGCUAGCCCUAUUGCCCCAAACAUGCCAUAAACUCGAAAACCUGUGCCUCAAGUCAGGCUAUUGUCUCGGCCUGUAAAGCCUCUUGCCUCUGCCUGGCACCUCACACUUUGGCAUCUAGUUCCAACGUGGCUGCUUGAGCUUUGCUGUGGUCACUGAAGGCUUAGGGGUAGGAGUGUGGGUGUAGCAGUUGGAGCUCCUUGGAACUCCAAGUAUACGUGACUCCAGGUGAGUCUAGGUCAAACUCCAGAUGGACUCCAGGUCCUAUGAAAAAGCAGUUCCUGAGGGGCUUCUGUUGAAUGUAGUUAAAGCAACCGUGUGUCCCAUCCACCUAUUAUCUCAGACCAUAGCCGUUAAGCAAGUUGAACUCUGCAAUGGGGGGCUGCGUGGAAAAAAACUCUUGCUACCUUAAUACAUCCAGUGGAUACUCCAAAUUGGUGUUUCUCUGUGACCUUGAAUUUUCAAUCCCAAAAAGUGAUGUAGCAGAACUAAAUACUGGGUAGUCUCUAGAGCUCAUAUUCUAAUGCUGCUUUAUAAAGGCUUCGAUGUGGCCCAAUCACACACAUCUAGAAAACUGACUUCAUUGCUUCACCAACCAUAAAGAGCCUAGUUUCCCACAAGGUAUGAAACGCUUCCACAUCCCAGAACCCUGGAAUUCUACCUGAGCUGUUGUUGGGAGAGGAACUCCACAACCCCUAGCUGCUCAUCAGCUGAUGGCUGAGCAGCAGGCCCGUGGAGGCCUUGGUGUCUCCCCAGCCGUAUCAAUAACAUGAAGACCUAACCCCAGCAUUUUCCCAUGGUUUGGGCCCUCUAUUUGUUGAAAUAAUACUUAAGAGAUUCAGCUGCAGUGCCUUCUCAGCUGACGCCGGAAACGGUGUGGUCGUUCAAAGGUGUCUAAAUUUGAGGCCUAGGCCUACUAAGUGGCUUUUCUCUACCCUUUUUUUUUCCCUCCUGCCCUUGGAGCAGCAGCUGUCUGAUCACGUGGUAAUGCUUGACUCUCUGGGAACCAUUUCUCUAUGGAGGAUUAGUGUACCUGUGCUGUAUUCCAGGUAUUGCUGAUCCCCACGCACAGGGAACGCGCUCAGCGACUCACUGUCAAAUGUGAUCCUUUUUGUUCCUCAUGAAGCCAAAACUAUGGCUAGCGCUGCUGGGCUGGGGUUUUUUUUCACCCUCCAUUAUAACUUGGUCUCUUGAGAGAAGCCUCCUGAGAUCAAGAGGAAAAUAUUUCUUCCUAAACAAAAGGGAACCCAAGUAGUAACGUGACUUCACAAAAGUAGAAGCCAGUGUGGAAGGUGAGCAGAUGCUUAUUUCAAUAAGUCCAUCUGGUUCCAAGCAUAAGAACGGGUGACCUUCCUGGGGGCUCUGUAACCUCACCCACUGUCGCCGUUGAGGUCUUAAUCGACCUAGAACCGAUUCUGACUCUUCCGAAUGACUUGUAUUUUUCUCCUGAAGGAACCAGUCUUUAAAGUUCUGACUAGAGGGGACUUAGGGUUUC
Felis catus (domestic cat) is the source of this 6233-nucleotide long non-coding RNA. RefSeq lists it as uncharacterized. The transcript has 4 exons. The record is from RefSeq and is a predicted model, not a curated record. Lineage: Eukaryota; Metazoa; Chordata; Mammalia; Carnivora; Felidae.